RNAcentral lists this transfer RNA (77 nucleotides) under Candidatus Pelagibacter sp. TMED273. Its description in RNAcentral is "tRNA-Val". It matches the Rfam family "tRNA". From Rfam's summary of the family: Transfer RNA (tRNA) molecules are approximately 80 nucleotides in length. Lineage: Bacteria; Pseudomonadati; Pseudomonadota; Alphaproteobacteria; Candidatus Pelagibacterales; Candidatus Pelagibacteraceae. The record is from RNAcentral.
GGGCGCUUAGCUCAGUCUGGCAGAGCGCUUCCCUUACAAGGAAGAAGUCACAGGUUCAAAUCCUGUAGCGCCCACCA